ACACUCCUGCGGGAGGCAGCAGUGGGGAAUAUUGCACAAUGGGCGCAAGCCUGAUGCAGCCAUGCCGCGUGUAUGAAGAAGGCCUUCGGGUUGUAAAGUACUUUCAGCGGGGAGGAAGGCAAUACGGUUAAUAACCGUGUUGAUUGACGUUACCCGCAGAAGAAGCACCGGCUAACUCCGUGCCAGCAGCCGCGGUAAUACGGAGGGUGCAAGCGUUAAUCGGAAUUACUGGGCGUAAAGCGCACGCAGGCGGUCUGUCAAGUCGGAUGUGAAAUCCCCGGGCUCAACCUGGGAACUGCAUUCGAAACUGGCAGGCUUGAGUCUUGUAGAGGGGGGUAGAAUUCCAGGUGUAGCGGUGAAAUGCGUAGAGAUCUGGAGGAAUACCGGUGGCGAAGGCGGCCCCCUGGACAAAGACUGACGCUCAGGUGCGAAAGCGUGGGGAGCAAACAGGAUUAGAAACCCUGGUAGUCCC
RNAcentral lists this ribosomal RNA (472 nucleotides) under uncultured organism. RNAcentral describes it as "partial 16S ribosomal RNA". It matches the Rfam family "Bacterial small subunit ribosomal RNA", at positions 333 to 797 of the family's 1533-position model. The record is from RNAcentral.